AAAGUCCUACGGGACGCAGCAGUGGGGAAUAUUGCACAAUGGGCGAAAGCCUGAUGCAGCAACGCCGCGUGAGCGAUGAAGGCCUUCGGGUCGUAAAGCUCUGUCCUCAAGGAAGAUAAUGACGGUACUUGAGGAGGAAGCCCCGGCUAACUACGUGCCAGCAGCCGCGGUAAUACGUAGGGGGCUAGCGUUAUCCGGAAUUACUGGGUGUAAAGGGCGUGUAGCCGGGCCGGCAAGUCAGAUGUGAAAUCCCAGGGCUCAACCUUGGAACUGCAUUUGAAACUGUUGGUCUUGAGUAUCGGAGA
This 305-nucleotide ribosomal RNA is filed under the name uncultured bacterium. RNAcentral's name for it is "bacterial SSU rRNA". It matches the Rfam family "Bacterial small subunit ribosomal RNA", at positions 333 to 655 of the family's 1533-position model. The record is from RNAcentral.